CGGUAGGCAUCCACACUUGAUUGUGUAUUGUUCCCUCUUGCUCAAGCUUCCUCUGCACGUACGCCUUGAUUCUCCUUUGGUAUAGUGGGGUGAGUGUAGCAUUAGGAUAAAUGUAUAUUGGUCUGAGGAUAAAUGCAUGGAUGUGUAACCAUCUAUAAAAAUUCAGAGGAUAAAUGUAUAUUGGUCAUUGACUGCAGUCUGCACUGCAUACCUCUAGGUGGCUUUUGGUUUUGGGCUGUCUGAUCA
This 246-nucleotide long non-coding RNA is filed under the name Setaria italica (foxtail millet). Its description in RNAcentral is "long non-coding RNA (SITA_LNC002581)". Lineage: Eukaryota; Viridiplantae; Streptophyta; Magnoliopsida; Poales; Poaceae. The record is from RNAcentral.